RNAcentral lists this ribozyme (159 nucleotides) under Anopheles stephensi (Asian malaria mosquito). Its description in RNAcentral is "drz-agam-2-2 ribozyme". It matches the Rfam family "drz-agam-2-2 ribozyme". Lineage: Eukaryota; Metazoa; Arthropoda; Insecta; Diptera; Culicidae. The record is from Rfam by way of RNAcentral.
GUUGCCUCCACCACCGUAGGGGUAGGAUCCGAGACUCCUAUCGAGGUUACACAGGCUCUCCUACCCAUCACCUAUUCCGUCACGUCCUCGUCGUACAGAGUGGCCACUUUCCCCACGACAUAUCCGGGCGGAUGGUGGAGCAAGGCUAAACAGGAGGGG